GACGAACGCUGGCGGCGUGCCUAAUACAUGCAAGUAGAACGCUGAAGGAGGAGCUUGCUCUUCUGGAUGAGUUGCGAACGGGUGAGUAACGCGUAGGUAACCUGCCUGGUAGUGGGGGAUAACUAUUGGAAACGAUAGCUAAUACCGCAUAAUAACAGUUGUUGCAUGACAACUGUUUGAAAGGUGCAAUUGCAUCACUACCAGAUGGACCUGCGUUGUAUUAGCUAGUUGGUGGGGUAACGGCUCACCAAGGCGACGAUACAUAGCCGACCUGAGAGGGUGAUCGGCCACACUGGGACUGAGACACGGCCCAGACUCCUACGGGAGGCAGCAGUAGGGAAUCUUCGGCAAUGGACGAAAGUCUGACCGAGCAACGCCGCGUGAGUGAAGAAGGUUUUCGGAUCGUAAAGCUCUGUUGUAAGAGAAGAACGAGUGUGAGAGUGGAAAGUUCACACUGUGACGG
This 463-nucleotide ribosomal RNA is filed under the name Streptococcus sp. oral taxon C56. Its description in RNAcentral is "bacterial SSU rRNA". It matches the Rfam family "Bacterial small subunit ribosomal RNA", at positions 28 to 475 of the family's 1533-position model. The record is from RNAcentral. Lineage: Bacteria; Bacillati; Bacillota; Bacilli; Lactobacillales; Streptococcaceae.